AAAAUUAAAAGGGAAAAAUGGCUAUUUACGGAUUGGCCUUUAUUGCAUGUCAAUUUUAGUCCAAUUAGCACCCCAUCUCAGCCCCAAAUUAAACCCAAAUAAUCCCAGCCUAAUUAGCCAAUCCACCUGACCCCUUACCACUUAACCGAACUGUCCCUCCUCCUUUUUAAUCUGAGCCGUCGAUCAUUUUGAUCAACGGCCCAGGUGGCCCCUUCCCUUUUUUACUUCCAAACGACCCCAAACCCUAUCUCAUUUC
RNAcentral lists this long non-coding RNA (256 nucleotides) under Nicotiana benthamiana. RNAcentral describes it as "long non-coding RNA (NBEN_LNC013563)". Lineage: Eukaryota; Viridiplantae; Streptophyta; Magnoliopsida; Solanales; Solanaceae. The record is from RNAcentral.